Molecule: long non-coding RNA, 768 nt
Organism: Haplochromis burtoni (Burton's mouthbrooder)
Lineage: Eukaryota; Metazoa; Chordata; Actinopteri; Cichliformes; Cichlidae
Exons: 3
Source: RefSeq, a predicted model, not a curated record
GGCUCAGAAAGAGCAAAGAUUUGGCCUGGCGUCAGAAGGCAGAGGUUCCCUGAAGAGUUUUCAGUGACUUUUACCAAAGAGAAGCAAAUUAUUAACUCAUUGCUGUCUGAGAAACCAGAAGACCGACCUGAUGCCAGCGCCGUAAAGGAAAAGCUUGAAGAGUGGACUCAGAUAUUCAGCACACAAAAAGCAUCUCGCCAGGAAAAUCAAACUGUCUGAUAGUCACAAGAGAAAAGUUUCAAAAGUCACAGGAGCCUUUGCAAAUCUGUCUUCUUGCAUCUGCUUAAUGAAAUGAUUUGAUGUACUGUGUAAUAUUAUGUUGGGUAACUGUUAAUGUGCAAAGUUAAUAUAUGGAAGAGGUCACAUCAUGAAUCCCAGCUAUUUUGGGGAAGUUUGUAUUGGAUUUGGAAAUGAAAUGUGAAAUCAUGAUUUUAAAAUCUAACUAUUCAAAUCAGUUUCCCGGUGAAGGUCGUCACUUUGUAACUGUUGUUAACCUGCUGCUGUCCUGAGGAGGAGGAACUGUGAUGCUACGUGUACUUCUGAUGGAUUCAUGUUGAAUGUCAGAGAUAAAAAAGCACACUCCAUGUGGCUCAAUUUUAGAAACUUUCCUAAAUGUUUUCAACUCAUUUUUAACCCAUGAAAUACAGUUUAACAUAUUUUUCUUCCAUUUUUUUCUUCUGUUCAUUUUAAUCUGAUUGAUUGCAAUAUCAGUCAGCUAUGUGUGACUUGGAACAGCAGGAGAAAGGUCAUUAAUACUGUACUAGAGGG